Molecule: long non-coding RNA, 323 nt
Organism: Mauremys reevesii (Reeves's turtle)
Lineage: Eukaryota; Metazoa; Chordata; Testudines; Geoemydidae
Exons: 3
Source: RefSeq, a predicted model, not a curated record
GGCUCCUUUGGCUCUAUUACACUUCCACAGCACAAGAGUGUCAAAACUCAAGAAUUGAGGGACCAUUGUGCUGGGCACUGUACAGAGAAGAUCCUCCAACUCAAGAGCUCACAAUCUAGGUGUCAGACAGACGUGAAAGGACUUCAGCAUCACAAUGCUCUGCUAAACCAAAGCACUGGCACAACCUACACUGGACCCACUGUUAAAAUGAUGGUCCAAAUUCUGUGUGCCCUUGAAUUAGUGUGGGGACUCCAUCUGACUUCAAUGGGAGCUCAUCCAAGGGUAAAAUGUGGCCCUUAAAAGGAGAUCAGGGUAGGGAAAAG